CUUCUCUCUUUUCUUAUUUUGGUGUUGAAUCUAUCUCCUCCAAUGUGGUCUCCCCCCAUCUUUCUCUCUCCAUCCUUCCUCUGGCCUCGAGGAUGUUUCUUUCCUCUUUCUUUCUUCAUCCUCCUGUGUUCCCGAGAUAGAAAAGUGGCUUCUCCUUUCCUCCUUUCUCUUUUCUUUCCCAGUCUUGGACGGUCGAUGAGUCUCUUUUCUUCCUUUUUUUUCUCGACGGCAUCUAGGUCUUAUAGGUGAGGUUGACGCAGGCCGACCGGUUGCUUCUUUCUCUUUUUACGUUCUCCUUUAGUGGUGGCAAGAUGGAAGCUUCUCAGUUUUGAAGUUUAAAUUUCAAAAGACCUUGUUUGUUCGUUUGGGGGA
Molecule: long non-coding RNA, 372 nt
Filed under: Elaeis guineensis (African oil palm)
Lineage: Eukaryota; Viridiplantae; Streptophyta; Magnoliopsida; Arecales; Arecaceae
Description: long non-coding RNA (EGUI_LNC021788)
Source: RNAcentral